UUACGGCCAAGUCACGUUGAAACAAGAGUACCUGUACGAUCACCAAAGUUAAGCAAAGUAGGGCCUGGUCAGUACCUAGAUGAGUGACCGCUUGAGAAAGACAGGUGUUGUAAG
Non-coding RNA from Acanthosepion pharaonis, 114 nucleotides. The record is from the annotation of a GenBank genome assembly. Lineage: Eukaryota; Metazoa; Mollusca; Cephalopoda; Sepiida; Sepiidae.